CCUCACUGCUAUCGGGGUGAGACUUAACCAUGCAAGUCUAUGCCCACACCCAUCUGUGGGCAUGGCGUACAGCUCAGUAACACGUAGCCAACCUGCCCCAAGGAGAGGGAAACCCCCUGGGAAACCAUGCUCGAUCGAUCGAUCUGACGUGGCCCAAAACUGGGGAUAAACCCUCAUAGGUGACGGGAUCUGGAAUGACCCAUCACCCAAAGUGACCUGGGAAGAUGGUUCUCAGGCCAGCCUUGGGAUGGGGCUGCGGCCGAUCAGGCUGUUGGUGAGGUAACGGCUCACCAAACCUAUAACCGGUACGGGCCGUGAGAGCGGUAGCCCGGAGAUGGACUCUGAGACAAUAGUCCAGGCCCUACAGGGCGCAGCAGGUGCGAAAACUCCGCAAUGCGCGCAAGCGCGACGGGGUCACCCCGAGUGCCGCCUUUUAGGUGGCUUUUACUCAGUGUAAAGAGCUGGAUGAAUAAAGGGGGGGCAAGACGGGUGUCAGCCGCCGCGGUAAUACCCGCUCCCUGAGUGGUGAGGGCUUUUAUUGGGCUUAAAGCGUCCGUAGCCGGCUUGGUGUGUCUCUCGUUAAAUCCGACGUCUCGAGCGUCGACCCGCGAGAGAUACUGCCAGGCUUGAGGGUGGAAGAGGUCGACGGUAUCUCCGAGGUAGGGGUAAAAUCCACUGAUCUCGGGGAGACCACCAGUGGCGAAGGCGGUCGGCCAGGACACGCCUGACGGUGAGGGACGAAAGCUGGGGGAGCGAACUGGAUUAGAUACCCAGGUAGUCCCAGCUGUAAACGAUGCAGACUUGGUGUGAGGGUAGCUACGGGCUACCCUCGUGCCGAAGGAAAACCAUUAAGUCUGCCGCCUGGGGAGUACGGCCGCAAGGCUGAAACUUAAAGGAAUUGGCGGGGGAGCACCACAAGGCGUGGACGNUGCGGCUC
Molecule: ribosomal RNA, 937 nt
Filed under: uncultured archaeon
Lineage: Archaea
Description: bacterial SSU rRNA
Rfam family: Archaeal small subunit ribosomal RNA
Source: RNAcentral